CGCGUCGCCGCGGGAGGCUGGGCGGGCACAUGGGAGGGCGGAGCUGCGGCCCUGGAGACCGACCACAGGACCCCAGCCUCGGGGGCGACAGACCUAAGCGCGCCUCCAGAGCCGGCGCGCAGCGCCCGUCCUCAGCGCCGCCGUCCUACCUGCGGGCUCAGAGUCUGCCAGAGUCUCAUGGUUGCAGGCGAAAGCCUCAAAACAACCUUGUGAGAAGGGCUAGGAGCAGCUUGUUUACGGAUGAGGAAGAAAACUACAGCUCAGAGAGGCUGACCAAUUGGCUGCAGUAACAAGACCAUUGAAAGAAUUAUCACUCCUUUGCCAGGGAGUGAAGGAUGAAGAAGAGAAGGCC
Molecule: long non-coding RNA, 352 nt
Filed under: Equus asinus (donkey)
Lineage: Eukaryota; Metazoa; Chordata; Mammalia; Perissodactyla; Equidae
Description: lncRNA (ENSEASG00005031426.1)
Source: RNAcentral